This 115-nucleotide ribosomal RNA is filed under the name Candidatus Micrarchaeota archaeon CG1_02_55_22. The record is from RNAcentral. Lineage: Archaea; Nanobdellati; Microcaldota.
GUCAGCGGUCAUAGGGGAGGUGUUCACCCGUUCCCUUUCCGAACACGGAAGUUAAGACCUCCUACGAUGUGGCGAGUACUUUCCUAUUGGAUGGAAAAGCCCGUUGCUGCUGCCA